CAGUAGCCGCGGGAAUACGAAGGGGGCUAGCGUUGUUCGGAAUUACUGGGCGUAAAGCGCACGUAGGCGGACAUUUAAGUCAGGGGUGAAAUCCCGGGGCUCAACCCCGGAACUGCCUUUGAUACUGGGUGUCUAGAGUAUGGAAGAGGUGAGUGGAAUUCCGAGUGUAGAGGUGAAAUUCGUAGAUAUUCGGAGGAACACCAGUGGCGAAGGCGGCUCACUGGUCCAUUACUGACGCUGAGGUGCGAAAGCGUGGGGAGCAAACAGGAUUAGAUACCCCGGUAGUCCCUGUCUCUUAUAA
Molecule: ribosomal RNA, 301 nt
Filed under: uncultured bacterium
Lineage: Bacteria
Description: partial 16S ribosomal RNA
Rfam family: Bacterial small subunit ribosomal RNA
Source: RNAcentral